Molecule: unclassified non-coding RNA, 345 nt
Filed under: soil metagenome
Description: partial contains 5.8S ribosomal RNA, internal transcribed spacer 2, and large subunit ribosomal RNA
Rfam family: 5.8S ribosomal RNA (bases 1-120)
Source: RNAcentral
GAUGAAGAACGUAGCGAAAUGCGAUAAGUAAUGUGAAUUGCAGAAUUCAGUGAAUCAUCGAGUCUUUGAACGCACAUUGCGCCCCCUGGUAUUCCGGGGGGCAUGCCUGUCCGAGCGUCAUUGCUGCCCUCAAGCACGGCUUGUGUGUUGGGCCUCCGUCCUCCUCCCGGGGGACGGGCCCGAAAGGCAGCGGCGGCACCGCGUCCGGUCCUCGAGCGUAUGGGGCUUCGUCACCCGCUCUUGUAGGCCCGGCCGGCGCUUGCCGACACAUCAAUCUUUUUUCCAGGUUGACCUCGGAUCAGGUAGGGAUACCCGCUGAACUUAAGCAUAUCAAUAAGCAGAGGA